ACACAUGCAAGUCGAGGGGCAGCAUGAUUGAAGCUUGCUUCAAUUGAUGGCGACCGGCGCACGGGUGAGUAACGCGUAUCCAACCUUCCGUACACUCAGGGAUAGCCUUUCGAAAGAAAGAUUAAUACCUGAUGGUAUGAUGAGAUUGCAUGAUAGCAUCAUUAAAGAUUUAUCGGUGUACGAUGGGGAUGCGUUCCAUUAGGUAGUAGGCGGGGUAACGGCCCACCUAGCCUACGAUGGAUAGGGGUUCUGAGAGGAAGGUCCCCCACAUUGGAACUGAGACACGGUCCAAACUCCUACGGGAGGCAGCAGUGAGGAAUAUUGGUCAAUGGACGAGAGUCUGAACCAGCCAAGUAGCGUGAAGGAUGAAGGUCUUACGGAUUGUAAACUUCUUUUAUAAGGGAAUAAAACCUCCCACGUGUGGGAGCUUGUAUGUACCUUAUGAAUAAGCAUCGGCUAACUCCGUGCCAGCAGCCGCGGUAAUACGGAGGAUGCGAGCGUUAUCCGGAUUUAUUGGGUUUAAAGGGAGCGCAGACGGGUCGUUAAGUCAGCUGUGAAAGUUUGGGGCUCAACCUUAAAAUUGCAGUUGAUACUGGCGUCCUUGAGUGCGGUUGAGGUGUGCGGAAUUCGUGGUGUAGCGGUGAAAUGCUUAGAUAUCACGAAGAACUCCGAUUGCGAAGGCAGCACACUAAGCCGUAACUGACGUUCAUGCUCGAAAGUGUGGGUAUCAAACAGGAUUAGAUACCCUGGUAGUCCACACGGUAAACGAUGGAUACUCGCUGUUGGCGAUAUACGGUCAGCGGCUUAGCGAAAGCGUUAAGUAUCCCACCUGGGGAGUACGCCGGCAACGGUGAAACUCAAAGGAAUUGACGGGGGCCC
RNAcentral lists this ribosomal RNA (879 nucleotides) under uncultured bacterium. Its description in RNAcentral is "bacterial SSU rRNA". It matches the Rfam family "Bacterial small subunit ribosomal RNA", at positions 51 to 922 of the family's 1533-position model. The record is from RNAcentral.